AACGGUCUAUACCUGCGGUACCUGCGGAAGGAUCAUUACCGAGUUCGGGGCUCUGCUCCAACUCCCACCCUUGUUUACCAAGCGUUGCUUCGGCGAGACGUUGGAAGCAACCAUCGGUGAUUGGUGACAAAAACCGAUGUGCGCUCGCCGGACUCCAAAUACUCUGAGAUUAUGUAUCGUCAGAUGAAACAAGCAAUUGAAUAAAAACUUUUAACAAUGGAUCUCUAGAUCGGAAGAGCA
This 240-nucleotide unclassified non-coding RNA is filed under the name soil metagenome. RNAcentral describes it as "partial contains 5.8S ribosomal RNA, internal transcribed spacer 2, and large subunit ribosomal RNA". The record is from RNAcentral.